AGAAAAUGGAAGCCUAGGAUUUGCACUAGUUGGCGGCAGAAAUGGCAGGGCUAUCCUAAUAAAAGCCAUCAGCCCAGACAGCAUCGCAGAUCUAGAUGGGAGGCUUCAAGUUGGUGACAUCUUACUUAAGGUAAAUGAGACUUUAGUGUCUGGUCUGCCACGCCAAACAGUUAUAGAUUUGCUGCGUAAGGCUCAAGGCACUGUUCAGCUCACUGUCUGCCGAAGCGUAGCUUCACGUUGGGCUUACUCAAGCAGCCAGAGAAACAGUAUACCUUCCCCUCCAAACACAAACACAGAGCCUGGGUCCAGAAAGUACACACUGUCCCCCUUUGCAAGGUCAGAUGGCUGGACAAGAUUAUCAGGGUAUCAUCAGUAACACUUCAG
RNAcentral lists this long non-coding RNA (384 nucleotides) under Gallus gallus (chicken). RNAcentral describes it as "long non-coding RNA NONGGAT008140". The record is from RNAcentral. Lineage: Eukaryota; Metazoa; Chordata; Aves; Galliformes; Phasianidae.